This is an RNA transcript of Loxodonta africana (African savanna elephant), 29257 nucleotides long. It is a transcript of the gene named YY1 associated factor 2, with no coding region annotated. NCBI's taxonomy places the organism in Eukaryota, Metazoa, Chordata, Mammalia, Proboscidea, Elephantidae. The record is from RefSeq and is a predicted model, not a curated record. The transcript is spliced from 5 exons.
UCCCUCCCCCGCCUGCUUCCGCCGGGCUUAUUAUCCUUCUUAUUGACAAACAGAGCAGCCGCGGCGGCGACUCUUGGCGUGCGUUUGUAGCCAAGCCAUGGGAGACAAGAAGAGCCCCACCAGGCCGAAGCGGCAGCCGAAGCCGUCCUCGGAUGAGGGUUACUGGGACUGUAGCGUCUGCACCUUCCGGAACAGCGCCGAGGCCUUCAAGUGCAUGAUGUGCGAUGUGCGGAAGGGCACCUCCACACGGGACAGCAAGGAAGGGGGGAAGCUGGUGUCCUACUCCACAGCCAGUCUUGGGGUUAGAGGAACCCUGAGAAAUAGAGUAGGUGGUGACAGCUCAGAAGAGAAGAAACAGGCCGCAUACCUGGCACCUGGAAGAAGAAGGAAUAUAGUGCACAGGGGAGUUGGCCCAGGACAGAGAAGUGGGCCUAGUUUAAAAGAGGCUUGAGGCCCAUGUGGGGGCCCCUGACAUUUUUUACCAGUACUUCUGAGCUCUUGUAGAUCCAAUUUUUAGUGGUGGAAUCAUUACUUGAGGAGGACUCAGAGAAGCAUUGUCAUUUGGAUUGAAACUGAAGAGGCUCUGGGCAACUCACCAGAAGUCUAAGGGACACUCUGUUCCUAAAAGUAAGUGUUCUACACUAAGACCCUCUCAGCUUCUUCCUUCCUCUCUCUGAAUUGUCUCUUCUCUUUUGAUUUUGGCCAUAAAUUAAACGUAAGAGCUCUAAUUUCUCUGUUAAUCUGUUGUUUUCCUAUCACUGUUUCUGAAAUUCAGAGUGGAAUCCAUGUUUGGAAAGAACAAUAGAACAGGGCAUUGUUAAUAGGGCAGAUAUUGAUGGCAUCACAAAAUAGUUUGCUCUUUGGUAAUAUUAGAAAAACAGAAUUAAAAGACUGUAGAACACUACUAAGAAGCAAAAGUUGCAGUAGUUGGAAGAAAUAAUUCUCUACAACUGACAUUUUAAUUAGCAGUUAAGGUAGUUUCAAGGGUAAGGCUGGAGAGUACCAAACCAAGGACUGAAUAGCUGUAGCUCUGAAGGAUCCAGUUUGUUAAUGACUUGUUUGUGUGACCAGAAGACAGGAUUUCAAUCCCUUGGGUCACACUGACCUUUGAACUGAUGGUAUCUCAGUCUCUUAAAUUUAUAGCCAAGUCUAAGCCAUCCUAGACAUUUAAAAACCCAGAGAAGAUGAUUCCAUCGUCUCCCUUAAAGUCUUUACAGACCAUUUUUUUUUUAAGACUAUCUAGUUCAAAUUCUCUACGUUGCAACAGAAAACUCUUUUGGAUAUUUCCUUGGUAGGUCAUGCUUUUCUGCAGAACGACUUUAUAUGCAGUGAAAUGAGCUUAUAUUCAUAAGAUGUAUUUCAAAAUGAAAUGUGACUGGACAUAGCUUCAGUUCCUCAGAUGAUAAAUUAUAUUAUUUAAGUUUAUGUUUCUGUGAUUGAAUUUCAGUUUUUGUACUUGGUGGCCUUCAUGAGUUUAAAUUUGAUCUAUUCAACUCUUUUUUUUCAAAAUCCGGAAUCUAAAUAGCUAGAUGGUUCAAAUACCUGAAGUUUUCUACCUUGUGCUUUUGUGAGUUAAACACUGAUAAAUGUCCUACUAAUAGAAAAAACUUAGAAAAACAAAGCUGUGGUGACAAAUGAUUCCCAUAAGUGGCAGACUGCCUUCUUCGUCUUUAUACCUGAAGUUCUUAUGAGGCAGUAAGUGUCCCAAAUGGAAACUUUAGGAAAUUAAGAACCAUCACCAGAGAAAAAACUGUGUGUGAGGAUAGUAAUCAGUAUAUAAUGAUUGAAUUAAACUAGUAUCUUAUUGCCAGUUGUUCAUGUAUAUAUGGAAGAAUGACUUUAUUGCUUAAUUCAGAUAGCAGAUAUUUUGAAAUGAAAAUAAUAGAGCAGUUGGUUUUAGUUUUGAGCUGUGGUCUAAAUGAGAACCUAUGAAAUAUCUGGUACAUAGCAGACUUCCAGAUGUAAUAUCUUUACCUGUGAUAUUUUCUCAGUGUAACUUGUAAAACAGUUGUUCCUCCGUGUCUGCAGGAGAAUUGGUUCCAAGACUCCCCUCCCCCACCCCUGCAGAUACCAAAACCUGAGGAUGCUCAAGUCCCUUGUAUAAAAUGGCAAAAUAUUUGGGUAUAACCUGCACACAUCCUCCUGUGUACUUUAAAUCAUCUCUUGAUUACUUAUAAUACCUAAUACAACGUAAAUGCUAUGUAAAUAGUUGUUUCAUCACAGUUGAAGACUUGAUGUGAAAGGUAGCCUUUCUCUUCUAUGAGUUUCUUGAGCUCUUUUGGGAACACUGAUACUACAUGGCCAUCAGCCGAUGCCUAUUUGCCUGUGAUCUUGAGGUUCUUCAGGUCGUAGAGCUUUACAUAGCUAGCCAGCCAUCCCCUACUAGGCUUAAAUUUCCUCCAGCUGUCUUAGACCCAUUCACACUUAGCCCUCGAGGGAUUGCUUUGACCACUUUGUGGCUUUUUAGGAGCCAUUUUGCAGAAACCAAAGUGCACACAACACAAGUAGCAAACAAGAGGGGAGGUAAGCAAUGCUCAAAUGAGUUCUGGAGAGAAGCUGAGGGUCUGGGAAAUGGUGGGAAGCUACAGCCUACACAUCCUUUCAUUUGCUUGGAUUCAGCUUAGUGCUCUGCGCGUGGCAAGUUGAAGUUUUGCUUUUUGGAACUUUUUUUUUUUUUUAUUAGUAUUUUUGAUCCACUGUUGGUUGAGUCCAUGGAUAAGGAACCCGUGGACAUAGAGGGCCGAUUAUUCCUUUGGAUUUCUCAUAGGUGUUAUUUUAGAGAAAUGUGGAAAAGAUUCCACAUAGUGUAAAGAGCGCUAAGUAUUGAAGUAGGAAUCUGGUGAUCUGGGUUCAUAUCUUAUUUUAACCACUUCAACAUUCAGCAUUCAGCAAAUGUUUACUGAACAUGUUACUUUAUGCAAGGUCUGAACUAAGUACUGGACAUAAAAUGGUGAGCAAAAUAGUUACUUGUUUCUUCUGUAAGAUUUUAGCUUUGUUGUCAAAUUAUAAACACUUUGAACAGUACCAAAUUCUGUGUAUGAUGUACUUUUAGUAAAUCUUUCCUUUAUAUAUGAGCCAAAGAGUAGUAACUUCUCCAUUAAAAAAAAUCUUAAGUUUAUAACUGAACUUAUUAUUAUGAUUAGGAUCUGGCUGCUGGUAAAAAGAAUAAAUUACUUUUGCUUCUAUAAGUUGGGGGUAAACUACAUAGAAUUCACAUUCUGAAGAAACCUUAAGGAAACCAACUAUUUGGUGAGAAAUUUUUUCAAUAUUAUUGUUGUAUUAUACUUGCUUUCUGUCUUCUAAUUUGAAGUUUGAUACAGAGUUGAUUGUCUUAGACUCAGAGUGAGAAUGGGAGAAGAAAUUGAAGACGGUGUGAGUAAGUUAAUUUUUCAGAAAUACAGUAUCCCCUGUCUCUCUGAGGAUCUUCCUCAGCUACCACAGAGUUGUUCACAAUAAAACUAAAUAAAAACCAAUAGCCAUUGAGUCGAUUUUGACUCCAUGACAACCCCAUGUAUGCAGAGUAGAAUUGCAUUCCAUAGGGUUUUCAAGGUUGUGACCUUCCAGAAACCCUGGUGGCAUAACGGUUAAAUGCUACGGCUGCUAACCAAAGGGUCAGCAGUUCGAAUCCACCAGUUACUCCUUGGAAACUCUGUGGGGCAGUUCUACUCUGUCCUGUAGGGUCGCUAUGAGUCGGAAUCGACUCGGCGGCACAGGGUUUGGUUUUUUGACCUUCCAGAAGUGAAUCACCAGGACUUUCUUUCAAGAUGUCUCUGGGUGGGUUCAUACCAACAACCUUUUGGUUAGUAGUUGACUGCUUAACCAGUUGCACCACCCAGGGACUCCCGUUGUUGUUCAGAGACUCCUUGUUAUAGGAGACUACUUGUUUGUUUUUUCUUUUCUGUAUAUCUUGGUUUCGGAGUUCCUGGGUGGUACAGACUAUUAAGUGUUUGGCUACUAAAAAAGUUUGGAGGUUCAGGGUCACCCAGAGGUACCUCGGAAAAAAGGCUUGGUGAUCUGCUUCUGAAAGAUGACAGCUUUGAAAACCCUGUGGAGCACAGUUCUGCUCUGCAACACAUGAGUCAGAAUCGACUUGAUGAUGACUGUUUUUGAAGGUGAUUAUUGUUUGCAUAGUCCAGAGUGGUGGUGGUGUUAGGUGCUGUCGAGCUGGUUUUGACUCAAAGCAACCCUAUAGAACAAAGUAGAACUGCCCCAUAGGGUCUCCAGGGGGCAGCUGGUGGAUUCAAACUGCCUACCUUUUGGUUAGCAACUGUAGCUCAUAACCGUUGCCCGACCAGGGCUCCUUUGGUGCAGAAGCAGUGGUGGGUAAAACUGCUGGUACCUUAGCAUGAAUCAAAGCAGCUGCACGAAAUUGCUGUAUUCCUCGUCUUCCUCACUAUUGUGCGCUCAGAGGAGACAUAAUGCCAGUUCCACUUAAGAAUAUCCUUGAUUAGGCAUUAAGAAUUAUAAAUUUUAUUAAAUAAUGUCAUUUUUAACAUUCUGUCUGAUGAAAUGGAAAGUACACAUAAAGCACUUCUGCUGCAUACCGGAGUGCAGUGGUUGAUUCCAGGAAAAGUAUUUAUGCAGUUGUUUGAGUUGUGAGCAGAAUUAGUUCCUUUUUUCAUAGAACAUCAUUUUUAUUUGAGGGAAUGACUGACAAAACUGUGGCUAUUCAGACUUGGUUAUUCAGCAGAGAUUUUCUCAGAAACAGAGUGAGCCUGCCACUUCAAGGAAAACAAUUGUCAGUAUUUGCUGCCAGUGAUAAAAGCUGAACUUUCAAAUGAAAAUAAGAAUUUUGGAAAACUUGUAAGCACUACAGUAAGCUUCAGAGUUUCCCAGUACUUUAAAGACUUUUCUAAUAAGAUUGGCGGUGAUAUUAAUGAAUGUGAUUUCUGAUAUCAUACCAUAAAAUGUGUCAGCAUUUGGAACAUCUGCAUAACUCAGUGACCUAAUAUUUUCCCAGUGAUCAAUGGAUGAAGUUGCAAAACCAUACGUGAAUAAUUCAAAGUGCAAAACGAACCAAUUGAUUUUAAAGGGAACACAGUAUGAAAAGUUCAUUGAUGAUUUCCAUUCUACAUUGCAACUAAACUUUGGGAAAAGACUCUUUACUGUGUUUUUAUGUAGUAUCAAAGAAGAAUAUCCACAGUUAUCUGAAAAGGUUAUUAAAAUAUUCCUCCCCCCCUUUUUUUUUUCAACUACUCUCUGGAAGUCGAGAUUUCUUUAUAUUGAACCAAAACAAUAUACUGCAACAGAUUGAAUGGCAAAGCAAAUACGAGAAUCCAGAUAGAUGUCUUCCAUUCAGAAGAAUGUUAAAGAGUUGCAAAAAUAUAAAACAAUGCCACUCUUCAUACUUAGUUAUUUUUGUGUUUUGGAAAAUAAAGAUUUUUUUCACAUUAAAAUAUUUAUAUUGAUGCGGAAUGUUCUGAUUAUGGUUUUAAAAAAUGAAUAUAUACUUUAAAUUUUUUUCUCAGUUUUCUAAUACAGUAAACAUCAAUAGAUAAAACUCACAUAAACAAAAGCUUUUUGGGGUCUUCUAACCUUAAGAGUGUAAAGAGAUCUGAGGGCAGAAAGUUUAUAAACUGCUGGUUUAUAGUUUUAUUAGCUUGAGCUUCUACACAUGACAUAUUUACUUCAACAGGCGUUCUUUUUCUUUCCUUUCUUGCGUGAGGCCUCUAAAAACCAGUGACCUAGUUGUUAAACUCAGCAGCCUAAUCUCAGUCUUCUUUCGAUGUGAUCCCUGCAACAUUUGAUGUUGCUAGCUUUUAAAAAAAAAUUGAAGCUCUCCUCUGACUUCUCUUAUACAACUUUUUCCUAGUUUUCCUUGUAUGUCUCUUAAAUCUAUUUCUGCUUCCUCAAACCUGGCUUCUUGUCUGUGUUCCUUAUUUUGUAUGUGGCAUAAACUUCUUUCUGGAACCCAAGCAAGAAACUAUCAUCUCAACUUUGAUUCUAACUCAUUGUCAUCCCUCCUAUCCAGUGUCCCUCAGUUGUCAUAUUGAGAAACACUUUGAGAUUUGUAUCCUCCCUUUUCUGAUUUGUAUAGCCAUAGUUCACAGGCGCUCACCAUUUCUCUGAUUGGCUAUUGGACAACUUGGUCUCUCUGCCUUCAGAGUGCUGUUAAUGGUAUCUUGGUUGUAUUUCAACCAUAUCUGAUUAUGUUGGUCCCUGUAAUAAAAAGAAAUUUAAGUCUCCCCAGUGACUACUGAGUAAAGCUCCUGAGCGUGGUACCCAAGGCUUUAAUCUAUCCUUAAAGUACUUCCCUAGAUUCAUUUACUUCUGCUUAUCCCACCAAUCCUGUAUCCAUGCUCAAGUACCUUUAUCAGGUGGUACUCCUAAAAAAAAAAAAAACCGUCCCCCUCCCGAUAGCCUAUUGAUUGUAUUUAUCUAUAUAAAUAAUCACAAGAGGGUGCAGGAACUGGCAGCGUUCCUGUUACACAUGAGGUAGUUGAGUCGGAGACAAGUCAACAGCAAUGGACAGCAACAGAGACUCACUUCCAUGUUGUAGGCCAACUGUCCAGAUAUUUAUCUGCCCAAAAGGGCAGGGACUGUCUCCUUCACUUUGAUAUCUUCAGAAGCUAGCAGAGUAUCUGGAAUUUUGUAGGUAUUUAAGAUUUUUAAAUUGAAGGCUUUUCAAAUUUGAUUAUUAAUAUUUGAUACCUGGCAUUGCCUUUCUGAUAAUUUUCACUAUAUAUAUAUAUAUUUUAUAUAUUUAAAAAUACUAUAUCAGACUAUUUUGUUCAUAAGUUACAGGAGUUUAUUGUUUUAGCAUUAUUUUAGAGGACGAUAUUGUCUAUGAAUGCCUUAGCGUUUUAAGGUACAACUUUGGAAAGUCGUAUGUUUCUUUUAUUUUCUCAUUUAUAGACACGUAUUUCUCACUUGUUAAGACUGUAUACCACCUUAGGUAGUAUAGCUAAAAAUGAAAAGUAUUUCUUGACUAGGGUAAACUGAUGAAGUCUUGAAAGAGUACAGCAUGUUAUGAACUAUAUUGCAUUCCUCAACUAAAUUGUAAGUUCUCUAUUGAGUGAUUUUUUAAGUUAAUUGACAUUGAGGGCCCGUCAAAAACUAAAAUAUACUGUGGAUCCACAAUCAACACCCACGGAAGCAACAGUCAGGAAAUAAAAGAUGCGUUGCAGUGGGCAAAUCUGCAAAAGACCUCUUUAAAGUGUAAAAAAGCAAAGAUGUCACCUUGAAGACUAAGGUGCACCUCACCCAAGCCAUGGUGUUUUCAGUCACCUCAUAUCCGUAUGAAAGCUGGACAAUGAAUAAGGAAGACCAAAGAAGAAUUGAUGCCUUUGAACUAUGGAGUUGGGGAAGAAUGUUGAGUAUACCAUGGACUGUGAAAAAAACAAACAAAUCUGUCUUGGAAGAAGUACAGCCAGAAUGCUCCUUAGAAGCAAGGAUGGCGAUAUUUUGUCUCACACACUUUGGACGUGUUAUCAGGAGGGAUCGGUCCCUGGAGAAGGAUGUCAUAUUGGUAGAGUAGAGGAUCAGUGGAAAAGAGGAAGACCCUCUAUGAGAUGAAUUGACACAGUGGCUGCAACAGUAGGUUCAAGCAUAACAAUGACUAUGAGGAUGGUGCAGGACCAGGCAGUGUUCUGUUCUGUUGCACAUAGGGUCGCUAUGAGUCAGCACCUAACAACAACAACAACAUAGCUUUGUGGUAUUUGAGAUUGUUUAAUGGAAAAUAGUUUAGCAUUCAGAUUUUGCAUUUGUUUGAACUGUACUGAAUUUAAAAUUAAAUCGGGACUAAUUUAAUUGUAAUUAAAACAGAACUAGUUUUUGUCUUAUGACUAAGAAGAUAGUGUUAUUUUACCUGUAGAUUUGUUACUCUUAAAGAUAAAUCAUUUAUACACAUUGUUGGUGCUAUCGAGUUGGUUCUGACUCAGUGACCCUGCGUCUUUAUGAAACACUUGCCAUUUCAUUGCUGGGUAUAGCCUUCUCUUUCUUAUUCUCUUGAUAUAUAUGUACGUAUGUUUGUGUGCGUGUGUGUGUGUGGAUUUUUUUUUAAAGAAAUUAGUAUUUUUUAAGGUGAUAGUUGUUAUAUAAUUGAGUAAGAUUUCCAAAGACUAAAAUUAUUACUUGCCUGUGAAAAACUUGGAGCCCUGGUGGUGCAGUGGUUAAGAGCUCAGCUGCUAACCAAAAGGCUGGCAGUUUGAAUCCACUGGCCACUCCUUGGAAACCCUAUGGGGCAGUUCUGCUCUGUCAUGUAGGGUUGCUAUGAGUCUGAAUCCACUCGACGGCAAUGGGUUUGGGUUUUUUUGGUUUUAUGAAAAGCUUACAUAGGAUGGUUUGGAUUGUUUAAUGUAUAUAUAUUUAGUAGUUAAAUCAUCCCAGAAACGAUCUUUUGGGGAGAAUAAAAUGGUUUUAUAGUAGGACUAAAUUAUCAAGUUUAAUGUUUGUUCCUUAAAUUAUUGAACUCGUUAUGUUGGCAGUGAUCCUGAAUAUAUUACUCAGUUUUUUUGUUUAAUCUGUAAAACGGGUUGUUAAAAAGAUUAAACUAAUUCCUGUAACUAACACAUAGUAAGCGCUGAAUAAAUGAUAUGUUAGGUAUGUGUUUGAAGCAAUACUUAUAAUUUAUUACCACCAAAUUAAGUUUUUAUUUCUAUUAAUGGUUUUUGAAAAUAGGCAUUUAGUAAAAACAAUGUAUUUAAAUUAUUUAAUACUGUGUAUCACUUUACUGUGUUCAGAAUGCUUUCAUAUAUAUCCUUCCAUGUGUUCAUCAAACCACCCUACACAAUUAAGAAGAUUGAAAUACAGGUUGUUUGACUGGGUUGAUGAUUGUUCUUCUCACCCUGCUAUCUUUGAUAAAGAGGUUUAUAAAAUAUCCUAGAUUGGGUGAAAGGUUCCUUUGCUUAUUCCUCUUGCCUUUAGGGUUAGCUAAAGGUCAACAUACUUGGUAAAAGAGAUUCAAAUUCUGUGGGGUAGUACUGUGAGUCAGAAUUUACUCAACGGCAAGGGGGCUACAGGGUAGGGUAGUCAAGUUUUUAUUCAAGGAUUUAAUGAAACUAGGAUUUUUAAAAAUACAUGUUUUCCUUAAGACUUUUUCCUUCAGAAACUAGAUAACUGGGAGCUGCUAAAAAUCAAACACCUGUGCUCAUCCAAAGACUUCACCUACAGACUGGGAAAAAGUUUUUGGCUAUGACAUUUCCGAUCAGCAUCUGAUCUCUAAAAUCUGCAUAAUACUGUAAAAACUCAGCAACACAAAGACAAAUAACCCAAUUAAAAAAUGAGCAAAGGAUAUGAACAGACACUUCACUAUACAAGACGUUCGGGUAGGUAACAGAUACAUGAGGAAAUGCUAAUGAUCAUUAGCCAUUAGAGAAAUGCAAAUCAUAACUACCAUGAGAUUUCAUGUCACUCCAGCAAAGCUGGCAUUAAUCCAAAAAACACAAAAUAAUAAAUGUUAGGCUGUGAAGAGACUGGACCACUUACACACUGCUGGUGGGAAUGUAGAAAGGUAUAACCACUUUGAAAAUCGAUUUGGUGCUUCCUUAAAAAGCUAGAAAUAGAACUACCAUAUGACCAACAAUCCCACUCCUUCAGACAUAUCCUAGAGAAGUAAGAGCCUUUACUCGAACGGAUAUACGCAUACCCAUGUUUACAGCAGCACUGUUUACAAUAGCAAAAAGAUGGAAGCAACCAAGGUGCCCGUCAGCGGAUGAAUGGUUAAAUAAAUUAUGGUAUAUUCACACAAUGGAAUACUACGCAUUGAUCGAUAAAGAACAAGGAUGAAUCUGUGAAACAUUUCAUAACAUGGAGGAAUCUGGAAGGCAUUAUGCUGAGUGAAAUUAGUUGCAAAAGGACAAAUAUUGUAUGAGACCACUGUUAUAAGAACUCAAGAAAUAGUUUAAACAGAGAAGAAAAUAUUCUUUGAUGGUUACGAAAGUGGGGAAGAAGUGGGGGAGAGGGAUAUGCACUAAUUAGAUAGUAGACAAGAACUGUCUUAGGUGAAGGGAAAGACAACACACAAUACAGGCGAGGUCAGCACAACUGGACUAAAUCAAAAGCAAGGAAGUUUCCUGAAUAAACCAAACACUGCGAAGGCUAGUGUAACAGGGGCGGGGGUUUGGGGACCAUUGUUUCCGGGGACAUCUAGGUCAAUUGGCAUAAUAAAAUCUAUUAAGAAAACAUUCUGCAUCCCACUUUGGAGAGUGGCAUCUGGGGUCUUAAAUGCUAGCAAGCAGCCAUCUAAGAUGCAUCAAUUGGCCUCCACCCGCCUGAAGCAAAGGAGAAUGAAGAAUAUCAAAGAUGAAAGGUAAUUAUGAGCCCAAGGGACAGAAAGGGCCACAUAAAUCAGAGACUACAUCAGCCUGAGACCAGAAGAACUAGAUGGUGCCUGGCUACCACCAAUGACUGCCCUGACAGGGAACACAACAUAGAAACCCUGAUGGUGUAGGAGAGCAGUGGGAUGCAGACCUCAAAUUCUUGUAAAAAGACCAGACUUACUGGUCUGACUGAGACUAGAAGGACCCCAGAGGUCAUAGUUCCCAGACCUGUUAGCCCAAGACAGGAACCAUUCCCAAAGCCAACUCUUCAGACAGGGAUUGGACUGGACUAUAACAUAGAAAAUGAUACUGGUAAAGAGUAAGCUUCUUGGAUCCAAGUAGGCACAUGAGAUUAUGUGGGCAGCUCCUGUCUGGAGUGGAGAUGAGAAGGCAGAAGGGGACAGAAGCUGGCUGAAUGGACACAGAAAUACAGGGUGGAGAGGAGUGUGCUGUCUCAUUAGGGGGAGAGCAACGAGGAGUAUAAUAGCAAGGUGUAUAUGAAUUUUUGUAUGAGAUACUGACAAUUUAAGAAAUAUUUAUUGAAUACUUAGGAAGUUUUGUUUAUUGGGUCUCAUGGUUGUAUGACCUGAUUGAUACUUGUGUUUUUAAAAAUUUCGUUAUGUGUUCCAUUCUCUAGUAUUGUUCAUUUUGGAAAAUUAGAGAAUUUCUGGGAAUUUUAGAGCUGGAAAGAACCUUUUAAGAGCUCCCAGUGUGGUCAUUUCCUGAGACAGGCUAUUUUUUGUUACCUGUAAACCUUAAUGGUAGAGGAGUGAGACAGUCUUCAGAGGGAAGAUCUUUUUUUUUUUUUUUUAUAGUGCUUUAGAUGAAGGUUUAUAGAACAAAUUAGUUUCUCAUUAAACAGUCAAUACACAUGUUGUUUCGUGACAUUGGUUGCCAACUCCACAACAUGUCAACACUCUCCCCUUCUUGACCUUGGGUUUCCCAUUUCCAGCUUUCCUGUCCUCUCCUGCCUUUUUGUCCUUGCCCCUGGGCUGGUGUGCCCAUUUAGUCUCCUUUUGUUUUAUGGGCUUGUCUAUUUUUUUUAAUCUUUGGUUGAAGGGUGAACCAGAGGGAAGAUCUAGAUAGAGUUGGGGUGGAGAUGUUGGUAUUAAAACUUUUGAAAUGGUUCGAGGCCAUUGUUUAUAAACCCUUCUUGUUAGGAUUUUUAGCUAAGUUUGAAGGAUUCUGAAUUGUGUUAUGGUCUUAAGAGAAAUGCUAGGUAUUGCUUUGAAAUCUAUACGGGGAGGACUUUUCUAUUUGUUGGAACUCAUAGCCCUAGUCCCAUAUCCUCUUCACAGGCAACAAAACAAACCUGGAAAAUUGUGACUUGUUCAAGGUUAGUAGCUGGUCAGUGUCAGAUUCAUAUAUCUGGAUUUCCGGUAUAUUCUUGUUACCCUAGGCCUGGUGGUCUACUUCUGAAAAAUCAGCCGUUGAAAACCCUAUGGAGUACAAUUUUAUUCUGAUAUACAGGGAGUUGCCAUGAUUUGGAGUCAGUUCAAUGGCAACCUUUUUUUUUUUCUUAUUACUGUGGUAUGGUAGCAUUUAAGUUUGCUAGCAAGAAAAUUCUUAAGGAUUUCUUUGUGUAAUUUUCAUUACACCUAGAUCUAGUGCUGUGUGUCUUACUAACUUUUAAUAUUAAACAACUGCUUAUAAAUAAUGUAAAAACAUAUUGAAAUCCGGGCUAGCAGCAUGAUGAAUGAAGAACAAAAUGUCAGUUGUUUUCUGUGUUAACAGAUGUUUUUGAGGUACAAAUGUUAAACUUCAUUUAGAUAUGUUUUAAAGCAACAUUUGUUAUGCUGUAUACCCUGACUUCUUUGAUAUUAUUUCUUAGAAGAAAAAUCCCAGUAAAUAUUAUUUCCUUCUCUUAUUUGUAGUAUAAAUACUAAGAAUCACUAAUAGUAUAAUUUAAUAGCCAAUUUGGUUAUAUGUAUGUGUGUAUGAAUAACUUGGUGUAUGGUAAAAAGCUUGUAUAGCCACUGAUAAUUUCUAGACGUAUGCAUUAAACCCCUUCAUCUUUGCUUGUUUCGUAGUCUAAUCAGGGUUUUUUUCCCCCAUAAUAUCAUGCUGUACUUUUACAGAGUCUGUCUAGGGACAAUCAGCCUACAACAGCACAAGUAGAUGGAAUUUGACUCCAGAGAGGUAGCUGUUUAAGAGGUAAAGCUUUAGAUGCAUUUGCAGGUGCAAAGCACAGUUGUUUUGGUCUUCUUUCAUCUUUUUCCAUCCCUUUUUGCUGUUUAUCUUUUGUCCCUCUAUCCCCACAGUCUCAUUAAUAUUCAGACCUAGCCUACCUUGUAAAUUCCUUCAUUUUCUUUAUUCCACCAGCAGUUGAUCCUUUACUAGAAAAUCUUUUAUGUUGUAUAUAAAUGUGAUAAAAGUAAUUGUUUGAAGUGUGAAUGUAAACAACCUGGUCAUGAGGGGUAGAGUUUUAUUUUUCUUAUUAAGAUAAUAACUCUCUUUUUGAUGUUAGAAGUAUUACAUGUUCAUUGAAAAUACUAAAGUAUAAGGAAGAAAAUAGGAACACCCAUCAUCGUGACAUCUUUCCAGUUAGAGCUACAUCUAAAACAUUGUUGUGUUUCUAUUUAGUCUUUUAUGUGUGUAUAUUUACAUUUUAAAGUGGAACUUGAUGUCUUCCAUUGGGACAGUGGGAGAAAAGAGGAAACUUUUUAGUUAAGAAAGUUUUCUUGACUCUACUUGAUCACUUUUAAACAAAUAAUUUCUUUUAUAAGGGUCAGCAGAAAGCUGGUUCCUAUGAGGUAGAGGUUAAAGACAUCCCAAAUGUUCAAGUUUUCCAAGCUACUAUACCACUCUAUUAUCAUUAAUAACUACUCCCUUUCCUCUCAGCACCCUCUCUUCCAUUUUUGGGUUCCCUAAUUGACCACAGCGGUUCACAGAACUGACAUAUGAACCGUAUAAAGGAAAUGGCUCAUGUGGUUGUGGAGGGUGACAAGUCCCGAGUUCAUGGGUCAGGCGUAGGCUUCUCCUGACCCAUGUGUCUGCAGGAGCUGAUGAACCCAAACUGGCAGUUCAGAGGACAGGCUGCUGGCUCACAAGGCUGUGGAAGCUGGUGAAUCAGGUCACAUGAUAGGCCGCUAGCCCAAGGGGCUGUGGAGGCUAGCAAAUCCCAGAAUUGAUGGGUCAGACAGCAGACCUCUGGGGAGGUCAGUUAAUCAAGAACCAGAUGUGGGAUCCAGAUGUAGAGAGAGAGAACCUUGCCAGGAUACACACAUAUAUCUUAGAUACAGGAGACAACCCAGGGAAGGGCUUAACUUACAUCUUAGAUACAGGAAACACCCCAGGGAAGGGGGUAACUUUAGUAAGGCUUGAGUCAUGCCUACCUGUAAGACUGUGACCCAAGACACAAUUUACACCAAUCCUGUCUCAUCAACAGACAGAGGUCAGUAUCCACAACAUAUAAAAUGGAGGACAGCUACACAACACUGGGAAUCAUGGCCUAGCCAAGUUGACACAUAAUCCCAACCAUCACAGGUUCUGUAUACCUUAUUUGCAUAGUCCCACUCAGCCACUGUGUGUGAGUAACAAAGACCAUGGCUAGAAGGGCCAUGUUAAAUAAUUCCUUGAACUGCAACUUUUAACCUUGCUUUGGUCAUCUUGGCUGAAAAAUUUUCACAAACACUGGUCUUAGGGAAUGCUCUUUGGAAAAAAGGAAGUAGAGACAGUUUGGUAAAUACUGCAAUCAUGACCUUCUCCUGGAAUUUAAUAAAUUAAAGACUCUGAGAAGCCAUCCACUAAAACAGCUUGCUAGCUUUAUUCACCAUAGCAGUACUCAAUUUUACUUGACCUUUGUUGUUGUUAGGUGCCGUCAAGUCAGUUCCGACUCAUAGUGACCCUGUGUAACUACAGAAUGAAACACUGCCCAGUCCUGUGCCAUCCUCACAACUGUUGCCGUGUUUGAGCCCAUCAUUAAAGCCACUGUGUCAAUCCAUCUCCUUGAGCAUGUUCCCCCUUUUUUGCUGAUCGUCUGCUUUACCAAGCAUGAUGUCCUUUUCCAGGGACUGAUUCCUCCUGAUAACAUAUCCAAAGUAUGUGAGCCAAAGUCUCACCAUUCUUGCUUCUAAUGAGUAUUCUGGCUGUACUUCUUCCAAGACAGAUUUGUUCAUUCUUUUGGCAGUACAUGGUAUAUUCGAUAUUCUUCGCCAAUACCAUAAUUCAAAGGCGUCAAUUCUUCUUUUGUCUUCCUUACUCAUUGUCCAGCUUUCACGUACGUAUGAGGUGAUUGAAAACACUAUGGAUUGAGUGAGGUGCACCUUAGUCUUUAAGGUGAAGUCUUUGCUUUUUAACACUUUAAAGAGGUCUUUUGCAGCAGAUUUGCCCAAGGCAGUGUGUUGUUUGAUUUCUUGAUUGCUGUUUCCAUGGACAUUGAUUUUGAGUUCACAUAAAAUGAAAUCCUUGACAACUUCAACCUUUUCUCCAUUUAUCUUGAUGUUGGUCUGGUUGUAAGGGUUUUUUUUUUUUUUUAUGUUGAGGUGUAAUCCAUUAUGAAGGCUGUGGUCUUUGAUCUUCAUCAGUAAGUGCUUUAACUCCUUGUCACUUUCAGCAAGCAAGGUUGUGUCAUCUGCAUAUCGCAGGUUGUUAAUAGCGUCUUCUUUUAACUGUGAUGCUGAGUUGUUCUUCACAUAGUCCAACUUCUAGGCUUAUUUGCUCAGCAUACAGAUUGAAUAAGUAUCUUGAAAGGAUACCGCCCUGACCUAUACCUUUCUUGGCUUUAAACCAUCCAGUAUCUCCUCGUUCUGUUCGAAUGACUGCUUCUUGGUAUAAAUACAGGUUCCUCCUGAGCACAAUUAAGUGUUCUGGAAUUCCCAUUCUUCCCAAUGUUAUCCAUAAUUUGUUGUGAUCCACACAGUUGAAUGCCUUUGCAUAGUCAGUAAAACACGGAUAAACAUCUUUCUGGCAUUCUCUGCUUUCAGCCAGGAUCCAUCUGACAUCAGCAAUGAUAUCCCUUGUUCCACAUCCUCUUCUGAAUCCAGCUUGAAUUUCUGGCAGUUCCCUGUUGAAACAUUGCUGCAAAUUUUUUUUUCAGCAAAAUUUUACUUGCUUGUGAUAUUAAUGAUAUUGUUCAAUAAUUUCUGCAUUUAGUUGGAUCACCUUUCUUGGGAAUAGGCAUAAAUAUGGAUCUCUUUUAGUCGAUUGGCCAGGUAGCUGUCUUCCAAAUUUCUUGCCAUAGACGAGUGAAUGCUUCCACUGCAGCAUCCGUUUGUUGAAACAUCUAAAUUGGUAUUCCUUCAGUUCCUGAACCCUUGUUUUUCACCAGUGCCUCCCCUGCAGCAUGAACCUCUUUCAGUACCAUUAGUUCUUGAUCAUAUGCUACCUCCCGAAAAAGGUCAUAGAUCGACCAAUUCUUUUUAGUACAGUAACUCCAUGUAUUCCUUCCAUCUUGAUUUGGAAACCUUUUUUUCCUGCUGUUAUACUAUAGAACACUUUGGGAAAUAUUGGCUGCCAGUAAGAGCAAACAGGUAGGCACCAUUUUUGUCCCACUUCACUUCAAUAAAAAAAAAUUUUUUUUUUCACUUCAAUAAGAUUACCUAUGUUCUUCUAUAUUUUAUCGAUUGGGAUUUCUUAACAUUUAUUUCAUAAAGGUGUUCUAUUACCAAAUUUUUUCUUUGAAAGUCAUUGCCCUCCUCCAUCUGUUUGGUCUUCUACCACUCAAGUUGUUCUAUUUAACACAGGCUGGAUUGUGUUUGGACUUCUUAGCCUUUCAUUCAAAGAAAGAGUUAAUAAUGAUUUAUAUAUGGUAGUGGGGAGAGCUUUCUCUCUUGAAGAGCCUUUUCUUUGUCUUUCCUUGCCUGAAUCCUUUCUCCCCUCACGCCCACACCUCCAUCUUCUCUAGAAACUUUUGUUAGACAUUUUUGCCUUUUUUUUUUUUUGAAUAACAAUAGUAUGUCUUAUUGUUUUGAAUUUUAAAAAAUAGACAUGAACCGUAGGCCUUUUUUUUGCUGUUGCUCUUUUUUUAAGACCAAGCCUGGUAAGGCUGAGAGUUAGACAGUGACUGAUUAGAUGAACAAUAAGAAGUACAAUUUACAGAUGGAAAAUAUAUUGAAUUCAUAAUGUCACCAAAUUGUGAUUUCUGAUGAAUUUUAAUAAGAUUAUUUCACUCUCUUAUGAAAUGUGAUCAUCACAUUUGGUCAGUGUUCCUUUGUUGCCAAUUUUCCAUAAACGUAAUGUCCCUGAAUACAUGACAUUUUUCUAUAACAUUUCUUGGAUAAUUUACAAUGUAAUUGUAAUCUUGCCAUUGUCAACUUGUAUAGAACUUCAUUGUAUAUUUGUAGUUUAAUGCAGGAAAGUAUAUCUAGUUUUAUUUUUAUAGCUACAUAUUCAUUUUUCAUUAUUGUAUGUAUUACGUAUCAUUAUGGAAAGCAAAAAUGCAAAGAACUUCAAUUUUUAAGAGUUCCCUGCAAUUACGUAGUGUAGUAGUUAAAAGCUUGGAUGCUGGGGCAUGACUGCUUGGGCUUAAAUAUUUGUUUUGCCACCUACUGGCUGUGUAUUCUAUGAACCUCUUUUUUUUAUUUGUAAAAUGAAGAUAAUGAUACCUUAUAGGAUAUUGGGAAGAUUAAAUGAGAGAACCUGCUUAAAGUACUUGGCGCACUGUCUGGCAUAUAAUAAGUCCUCAAAAUGUGUUAGCUAGAUUGCAGGGGCUAAUAACGCACUCAGUAGUUAAUUAACCUCACCUCUUAAAAAGAUCAACAGAGAAAUCAUGUAGAAAGUGGUCAAAACCCAAUGUAGCUAAAAGACUUCGUUUGUGUGUGGAAAAUGCUAAUGGCCAAGAAUCAGAAAACCUGGUUUUGCAAUCCAAGAGAAGUACUUUCUCUGGAGUCCUUGUUUUCGUAUCCAUAAACUGAAGGGAGAGAAAAUAAAAAAACAAAAACAAAAUGUGUUAGCUAAAACAAUAAGGCAGUGUUGUUGUGUGCCGUCGAGUUGAUUCCGACUCAUAUUGACUCCAUGUGAGGGAGUAGAACUGCCCCAUAGGGUUUCCGAAGCUGUAAUCUUUAUGGGUGCAGGUAGCAAGGUCUUUUCUCCUGCGGAGCCUAUGGGAGGGUUUGAACAGUCAACCUUUUGGUUAGUAACCAAGUGCUUAACCACUGUGCCACCAGGGAUCCUUAGCAAAUAUACUAGUGGUGAUAUAAUAAUAUAUAUCCAUAGGGGUAUGACAACCCCUGUUGUUAAAUGUGCGGGUUCUAGUGGGGUAACUGACAAAACCGGAGCAUAAGAAUAAAUGAUUUAUACUGAAAAAUAACAUUUUCCACAAAGUGCUUCAGGGAUACUUUUCAUUCUGUCUCCCUUCCUCUUUUUUUCCUCGUUUCUCAUCUGUAGUAUUCCCACAUCCACCUAAUAGCCUGAUAUGGACUGUCUUGUAAACAUUUGGGCCUUAGCAGUAAAAGUUUUAACAUCUGGGAAGUUCUCUUAAGAAUUGAAAAGUUAAAUGCAGCAUUUUUUAUUUGCCAUAGUGGAAGAGUAAAUCUGUUUUCAAGGUUGGGAUUGUCAGCGUGCAUACAGUCUGUUUGAGGCCACUGGGCUCUGUUGCAUAUUAUGCUGUUUUUCCUGCCCUUUGCUCUGCCUUCCUCCCAACACCAUAGCUUCUUUUUUGUUCUUUAUGAUUGCUCAAGCAUCGUCUCUUUCAAGAAACAUUUCCUUAUCCCAAAAAAAAAAAAAUACUCUUAAAGUGUUCUAUGCAAAAUACUGUUAUUAUAUUUAUACAGUGUAUUGAAAAUAUUUGUUUCUCCUUUGGUGAACUGUAAUCUCCCUGUAGGCAGGACCAUCGAUGCUGGAAACGCAGUUUAUUUCAAAUCCUUACCUUGCCACUUACAGCCAUACAACCAUAGGGCUUUAUAGUGAGGAUUGAAUGUGAUAAAUGAUAUAAAGAAUUUAAUGUAGUGCAUGGUGCAUAACAGGAGCCCUGGUGGUGCAGUGAUUAAAGUGCUCAGCUGCUAACCAAAAGGUCAGUUUCAAACCCACCAGCUGCUCCUUGGGAGAAAGAUGUGCAGUCUGCUUCCAUAAAGAUUUACAGCUCUGGAAACCGUAUGGGCCGGCUCUUCUCUGUCCUGUAGGGUUGCCAUGAGUCAGAAUUGACUCGAUGGCAGGGGAUUUGGUUUGGUGGGUUAUCACACAUAAGAGUUCAAUAAAUGUUAGUUAAUAAUACUGAUAAUGAUAAUUGUAAUAAUAAUAAAAAUUCUCAGUGCCUGUCACUGUGUCUUGCAUAGGUACUGAUAAUGUAUUACUGAAACACAAAGCCCUCAAUCAUUUGUCUGAUUCUACUUCUUUGCUGUAAUCUGUUGUCCACUUCCUGCUGUUUAAAGACAUUUCAUAUAAUUUCAUUUCAUGAUCCUGUGGGUUAGAUGAGAUAUGCUUAAUUAUGCCCAUUUUACUUGAUAAGAAAUUUUAAGUCCACCUAAGUUAAGUUUUUUUGGGUUUUAAGUUACCUGUGUGCUCAACUUUUUCAGCAAUGUUUAAAUUGUUUUUCUGCCCUUAGAGAUGAACAGUUGAAAUCACAGUUGAUAGAAUUUCAUCCUGUUUUAUCUCAUGCCUAAUUGUUGAAUGAAUUUUAGCUAGAGGCAGAAAGACUGUUGAGUGGAAGCCACUGUAAAUAGGCUAAGCAGGAGACAGUACAGUAGUGGGCUGAGCAAGGGUACUGCUAGUAUUGAGAGAGAAAUGAAUGGAUUAUAGGUACAUUUAGGAGAAAAUUUAUAGGACUUAAUGAUUGGUUUGUUUUGUGGUUGUAUGAAAUGAGAAGUUGUGUUGUGCUAUUGUUUUUGUUAGGUGCUGUGAGUUGAUUUUCGACUCGUAGAAACCCCCAGGACAGAGUAGAACUGUCUUGUAGGGUUUUCUAGGCUGUAAUCUAUGGGAGCAGAUCACCAGAUCUUUCUCCAGCAGAGUGGCUAGGUGGGUUUGAACCGCCAGCCUUUCAGUUAGCAGCUGAGCACUUAGCCUUUGCCACCAGGGCUCCUUAAGUUGGAUUGGAGAGAGGAAGAAAUUGAGGAUGAAUCCCAGGAUUCUGGCUUAAUUAAGCAGCUGGGUGAAUGAAUGGUGGUACUUCUCACUAGGUAGCAAAUAGGAGGAAGGAUGGGCUUUGGGGAAGGUGAUAGUUCACUUUUAGAUUUGUUGAAUUUCAGGUCCUUGUGGAAAGUCUGUGAGGGGAGAUCUAUUAGGCAGUUGGAUAGGUGGGGCUAAAACUUAGGAAACAGCAGGGCUAUAAGUACAUAUUUGGUAUAGUCAUCAGCAUAGAUGAUUCAGUUGAAGCCGUGGGAGUGAGUAAAAUAGGUUAGGGAGAAAAUAUACUGCAUAGCACGAGAAAAGAGAUCUUAGGACGGAACCUUGAGAGAGACAUCAUUAUUUUCUAUGGUGGUAAAAGAAGAGGAAAAAAAUGGAGGUAAAAAAGUCAGUAGGGAGUAAGAAGCCCAGGAGAGUGUAAUGUUACAGGAACAGGGAAGAGAAUGUUUCCAGAAGGAGUGGGUGUGGUCAGCAAUGUCAGAUGGCCUUUACUUUCGUUAAACAGAAUCUUAAUUUUCCUUCCAGGUAAAUUAAAUAAUAUUUGUUUUAACAGGUGUGGCAUUGAAAUUCAUAUUUUAAAUUGUAAGAAGAUAAUAAGACUCACAGUGCUUAUACUAAGCUUUUCAUAAUAGCAGCAAUAUAUCUGAAUUAUAUCUGUAGGUUAAAUAAAGGAGGUUAGUAUUGGUAGGUAGAAAGAUGAGUAAAAUAUGUUGGUAACUAGCUUUGUUUCUCAAGGAAAAAUGCUAUAAUUAUCUAGUAAUGUCUAUCAUCAUUAAGCCUGUACUUUUAAAGGUGGUUCUUGAUUGUAACUAUAGAAUUUAACAGUUAAUUAAAAAAAAGUAUUGGGUGCAUCUUGUUAUUAAGAAUUUUUUAAGGGGUGAGUAAAUGUACAGUAAUUUUGAAGACUCUUGAAAAGUUGCAGAGUUAGUUGUGGGGAAGCAUGUAUAGUUUGAAGAAGCUAUCUCCCAUUUUUCGGAGGAGUGAAUAGCACCCUACUGAUCAGCUAACCAAGCAAAUCAUAGCACUUAAUAUAAAACUGUGUUUUUUCCAUAAAGGGAUAGUUACUGGUGUUUGAUGUGAUUUAUGACGCUUAAAGAUUCAGGUUUGAUGAAUGCCGAGUAAUAAACUAAUUGCAGGUUGUAUUAAAGAAUAACAGGGAGAGUUAAUUCAGGUAUGUGGUCGGGGAGACUUCUCGGGAACGGGGGAAAAAAAAAAGUUGCCAUCGAGUAGAUUCCGACUCAUAGCAACCCUAUGGGACAGAGUAGAACUGCCGCAUAGAAUUUCCAAGGAGCAGCUGGUGGAUUUUAACCACUGUGCAACCAGGGCUUUACUUCUCUGAGGGGAUGGCAUUUAAGCCAAAAGCUGAAAGACGAGAAGGAGGUGUUCGUGAAAGAGUUCCAGUUAACAGCAAGCUUAGAGUUUGUUGUUGUUUUUCAAUAGGAAAGAGUUUGUUUUACACUGAGGAAAGACUAGCCUGAUGUGAGUUAUGGGGUGAGUGGGAUCAGAUGAGUCUGGAGAAGUGGGCAAAUGCCAGAUCACAUUUUAUUUAGUCAUAAAUGAUGUGGCAUUUAGAUUUUAUUCUAAAUGUAAAGGGUAGCUGUUUAAUAGGUUUUAAUAUGAAAGUGCUACUUUGAGGCUAUGAAGAGAAUGGAUUAGCAGAAGGCAAGAGUGGAAAUAGAAUGGUUGGGAGGCUAUUCCUUUAGGUGAAGGAUAAUAGGUGCUUUAAUAUUUUGAGAUUGAUUAAAAGAGAAUGAGUUUGUACCUUACUGUCAUCAGUAUCUUCAUGUAUGUUUCCAUGACAAAGAUCAUUAAUAUGUAUGCAGUUAAGACUUUUGCUCGUGUGGCAUUUUAUUACUUAUAAGCUCUUUGUUCACUUUUAAGUGAUUUUGAAAUUAUUUUAAAAUGGGAUGAUUAACACAGAGCAUGGUGAAAUGUAUUAGACGCAUUGCUAUUUAAAAGUUACUUAUUAAUUGAAAAUAAAAAAUGAGUAAGUUUUCCUUCAGAGGAAGGAAAAUGAAAUAUUUAGAGCCACUUUUUUCUUCAGGUGUUAUAGUAACUGGGAAACCCUGGUGGUGUAGUGGCUAGGUGCUACAGCUGUUAACAAAGAGGUCGGCAGCUUGAAUCCGCCAGGCGCUCCUUGGAAACUCUAUGGGGCAGUUCUGCUCAGUCCUAUAGGGUCGCUAUGAGUCGGAAUCAACUCGAUGGCAGUGGGUUUUUGGUUAUAGUAACUUUAUCACUGUUGACUUGACAAUAUUGUUGUUAGGUGUCAUUGAGUCAGUUAUGAUUUAGAGAGAUUCUGUGUAUAACAGAAUGAAACACUGCCUGGUCCUGUGCCAUCCUCACAAUCACUGCUAUGUUGGAGCCCAUUGUUGCAGGCACUGUGUCUGUCCAUCUCAUUGAGGGUCUUCCUCUUUUUUGCUGACCCUUUACCUUACCAAGCCUGAUGGCUUUCUCCAGGCACUGGUUCCUCCUGAUAACAUGUCCAAAGUACGUAAGAUGAAGUCUCACCAUCCUCCCUUCUAAGGAGCUUUCUGGGUGUACUUAUUCCAAGACAGAUUUAUUCAUUCUUCUGGCAUAUUUAAUAUUCUUCACCAUUGUUUUAUAAAAUCAGUUUUACACACAAAAUGUGCACUUAUAUUAGAGAUGGUUAUUCAGCAUUGAUUUGAAAACUAAUGCAGGACUUCAGAAUCUGAACAGAUUAGUUUUAACAUUAUAAUCAGAAAAGAUGAGAAAAAGGACAUAAUUACAAGGUUAAGGUUAAAAAACCCAAAGGUUAGACUCCCUUAUUUUGUUGACAUAAUUGUUGGGUUUAAGAACAUUGUUAGCUGUUAUUUUUGUGUGUUAACUUGAAUAAUAAGUAUAGGGGACCGGCAUGUGAUGCUCCUGACAUUCUGGGCUAGGAUCAGGAAAAUAUUUUCUUGAACUAGAAACUAUUGAGUAGAUGACAUCAACUCUAUAUAGAAGCAUACCAUUUUAAGAUAUGGUUUAUAAAUGUGGUGCUUGAUUACAAGAUUAAGGCAUGUGUCAGAUCAAAUUAGGAAGAUCAAAAUAUUGUUGAAGAUCAAUUAAUGUGAGUAAGACAUCUUUAGGAAGAAUGACUAGAACAUAAAAUGGUGUAAAAGAAAAACUGCACCGGAAAACUGCUCAAGAUUUCAACACUGGGCAAUUGGUCAGUGUUUAGUAUAGUACAAGAGGUGGUAGAUGCUAUUUAGCAGACACUAGAAUAGUGCUAGGAGUCCUGGUGGUGCAGCAGUUAAGAGAUAGGCUGCUAACCUAAAGUUCGAUGGUUCGAACCCACCAGCCACUCCACAAAGAAUUAUGUGGCAGUCUGCUUCCCUAAAGAUUUAUAGCCUUGGAAACCUUGUAGGGCAGUUCUACUCUGUUCUGUAGGGUCACUAUGAGUUGGAAUUGACUGAGCAGUAAUGGAUUUGAUUUGGUUUAGAAUGGUACUUUACUCUGGGGUUGGAGUAAUUUAGGCUACUUCAUCUGUAAAUCAGCUACAUCUUAACACCAUCCAGUUUUUAAAAAGUAGUUUGUAGACCCAGCAACCAGUUUCCAGGGGUACUGCAUGCUUAGAAUGCAUGACUGGUAACUCCUGAAGUGAUACGGUGUCCAGAUAUGUUCAUACUGGGAGAGGAAUGCCCUGGAUGGGGGCAUCUGAUUUAUUAAUCAGUUUGAUGAGUUUGGUUGGUAUAAUUCAGUUUUCGAGUCUUAACCUGCUUUAGCUUUAUCUAGGUUGAAUUUUCGGAUCUAAAAACCAAGGACCAAAUUCAGAACUGGCCCCCACCCAUUAAGGUACUACUUUCCUGCGAGUUCCUUUUUAGGCAGCUAAUCGGCAUACACUUUACCACUUUUAGUUGAAUACUAAUUACUUUGUAAUGCUGUCUGUAUUAGUUAUCUAUUGUUGUGUAACAGAUAAUCCCCAAAUUUAGUGAAUGAAAACAAACAUUAUCUUAUAUUCCUGUGAGUAAUCCAGGAGCAGCUUAACUGGGUGGUUCUGGCUCAGGGUCUCACAAGCCUGCAAUGAAGGGGUCAGCUGGAGCUGUAGUCAUUUCAAGGCCCAACUGUGGGAAUCCACUUGCAGCUCACUCAUGUGGUUUUCAGCAGGCCUUAGAACACCUGCUUCCAAGUUACUCAUGUGGCAGACCUCAUGCCCUUGCUGCUUGUUAGCCAGAUGCAUCAGGUUCUUGCCAUGAGGGCCUUUCCACAGGGCUGCUUACACCAUGGCAGCUUGCUUCCCCCAGUGUACAGGAUCUGAGAGAGAGAAAGAGUAUGCAUGAGAGAGAGAGCCCUUAAAACAGAAACCACAGUCUUUUUAUAAUCUAAUUUUAGAAAUGUUCUCCCAUUGUUGUUAGCUUGUCGAGUUGGCCCUUGACUCAUGGUGACCCCACAUACAACAGAAUGAAACACUGCCAGGUCCUAUGUCAUCCCCAUGUUUGGUUGCAGAUCAGACUGUUGUGAUCCAUAGUUUUCAUUGGCUGAUAUUUGAAAGUAGAUUGCCAGGUCUUUUUCUAGCCUUUCUUAGUCUGGAAGCUCUGCUGAAACCUGUUCAGCAUCACAGCAACAUGCAAGCCUCCACUGACAGAUGGGUGGUAGCCAUGCAUGAGGUGCACUGGUCAGGAAUCGAACCCAGGUCUCCUGCAUGGAAGAUGAGAAUUUUACCACUGAACCACCAGUGCCCAUGCUGCCUCAUUUCUUCUGCCAAAUUCUGUGCCUUAGUGGGAAACCAGCCCACACUCAGGGGAAGGGAUUACCAAGGAUAUGAAUACCAGAAGGUGGGGAUCACUGGUGGCCAUCUUAGAGGCUGCCUACAACACUAUCCUUUAGAAAAAAUGGCUUAAAACUUUUUGUGGUGGUUGUUGCAGAAUUCUUUCUUCAAAAGGAGGCUUAUUUUGUGGAAACCCAAAAUAUAAAUAGAUGAAUGGGGAGCUGUUUUGAUUAAAGCCAGGGGUUGUAGGGAACUAGGGCCCACCUCGGUACUCUUCCUCUUUCAGCAUUUCAGAACAACUUGAAUAUUAGUGGAGCCCUGGUGGCACAGUGGUUAAGAGCUCCAGCUGGUAACCAAAAGGUCAGCAGUUUGAAUUUAUCAGCUGCUUCUUGGAAACCCUAUGGAGCAAUUCUGCUCUGUCCUACAGGGUCGCUAUGAGUCGGAAUGGACUCCAUGGCAACGGGUUUGGUUUUUGGUUUGGUGAAUAUUAGUGUCUUAACCAUCAAAUGUUAGUCAUGAACAUGAAUAUAUACUGUUGUUCUCAUAUUUUCAUUUUAGAAUUUGUCAGUGUUUAGUCCUAAAAUUCUAGAUUUAAAAGUGGGGCAUUGGGACUUGGAAAACAAUCAUGUGAAUGUUUCUGGCAACUUUUUAAGUCCAAGCAGCUUCCUUAUCUAAAGUAAAUCUAAUGUAAUGGCCAGUUUUUUAGUAGCAUUCACAGAUAUAAUUUAUAUGCCAAAAAAACCCAUUGCCAUCAAGUCAAUUCCAGCUCAUUCUGACCCUAGAGGACACGGUAGGAUUGCCUUGUAGGGUUUCCAAAGCUGUAAUCUUUACGGAAGUAGACUGCCACGUGUUUCUCCCAUAGAGCGGCUAGUGGGUUUGAACUGCUGACCUUCAGUUCACAGCCAAGUGCUUUAAUGACUGUGCUACCAGGACUCCUUAUAAUUUAUAUAUUGGUGUGAUGUUGGUACUGGCUUACUUACUAACUACUGUCUGGAAUGUUUUGUUAACUAUGGCCCAGUCAUAUAUAGUUUUAAAGAACUUGUAAGUGUAUAGUGAUGUUUCUAUUUUAAUUUUUAUAUUAACAUGUUCUUGUAGCUCUUCUAUGAUGAAAACCGUGAUUCCGGAUAUUAACAUAAAUUACUAGCUUUAUCUUACCAUAUAAAGACUAUAGUUUCAAAAUGAAUAGUACAUUAUUAAUACAAACGAAUCUCUGAGAGAAGUUUAGAAUUUCCUGAUAGUUCUUUUAUUCCUCAGACUACAGCUCACUAAAAAUGUGCAGUCAAUUGAGAAAAAUCCCAUUUCUGGAUGGUUAUAUUAACAGUUUGAUACAUGGUUAGAUUCUAGGCACUGUUUCUAAGUGCUUUACUUAUAUUAACUUACUUAAUCUUUACAACUGCCCGGUGAAGUAAGUUCUCUUGACCCCUGUUUUACAGAUGAGUAUAGUUUGUGCCAUCUUGAUCUUAGAUUAAUACCCAAACUAGAGGGUGGUGGUGGAAAUGAAAGUUAGAUACCACGUUUUUUUGUGAGUAGUCUUUUCAUAAAUUCAAAUUGAUUUUAUAGAGUAGAUUUUUAUUAGUGUGACUUGAUUUGGCUCUUUUUGUGGAUUAGCAUUAUAAUUAGGAUUAUAAUUAUUUGUGUUCACACAGGAUAUUUUGAGUAGAGCAUCCUAAUACGGAAUUUCUUUUCUAAGCUGUCCUGAUAAAAUCCACCUUAGUUGUGAACUCGUAGCUUUCCAUACUAGUCUCUAAGUGACCCUUUGGGUAUCUUAAAAUAUUUUCAAGACAUUUUAAUUCUUGAUUCUAGCAAAAUGCACUUGAUUCUUUUUGUUGUUGUUGUGGGAAAUGUACACAGCAGAACAUACACCACUUCAACGAUUUCUACAUGUACAGUUAAAUGAUACUGAAUUAUAUUCGAUUUGUGCAACCAUUCUGAGAAUAUUUUGUGACUUUUGCCUUUUUCUGACUCCUCCGUUAACAUAAACUCACUGCCCCCCAAAUUUUCUAUCUGAUCUUUUGAGUUACUAUUGUUAGUUUGAUUCCAUAUAGAUAAUUCUUAAAAGAGCACAGUGUUCAAGGCAGACAUUCUUUACAGUUAAGCUAAACUACUGUUUGGUUUUAAAAAGACUUCAGGGGUAUUUUUGGUUUUAGGUUAAAAGAUUAUCUCAGGGCAGUAGUUUCAGGGGUUCAUCUAGUCUUCAUGGCUCCAGAAAGUCUGAAUUACAUGAGAAUUAGAAAUUCUGUUCUGUGUUUUUCCCCUUGUGAUCAGAAUUCUAUAGAAUCAUUGAUCAAAAUGUUCAGUAAUGGUAGCCAGGCACCAUCUAGUUGUUCGGGUCUCAUGGCAAAGGAGGCAGUAGCUGAUGGAGGCAAUUAGCCAUACUUCUUUUCUUCCUCGUUUUCCCCAUUUGAUUCCAUUUUAAGUUUGUAAGAUCUGAACCCAAAUGGACAGUGCAUUUGCUACAAAUAAAAAUUGGAGAUUAUUAUUUAGCUUUUAAUGAUAUCUUUUAUACUAGUUUAUAGCAUUAGAGUAAAAUAUUUGGAUUAUUGCUUCUGUGCCGGUUUUUAUCAAUAUAAACAUGUACUUACUAUUCAGUCAAUAAAAGUUAAUUUGGAAUCUGUAAAUGACCCCUUUUUGGUACUUAUUUAUGUAUUAGAAUUACAGAUGGAGGUCUGUGGAGUACCUCUGUUUGAAUGAAGGGUAAUUUAAAACACUAAAGCAUUUAUUAAGUAGGAAUCUAGCACAUGGAUGCUGUCAAACUUUACAAAAUAAAAAUAUUACCUCGUAACAUGAUUGAAAUGUAAGAUUCUCGUUGAAUUACAUUUGCAGUUGAUUUUUGUUAAAUAAUGGUUUUAUAGUCCUUUUAAUCAUAUUUACUCCUAAAACAAAGAAAUAGCUAUAUACUUUUUUAAUUUGUUUCCAUAGAACGAAGAGCCAGGAAACCAUAGUUUCUUGAAGGUAGAGGAUGAUUGUUGAGCAGCAUAAUGGUAAAGGGAGAGAUCCACAUUCUUUGAAGUUAUUGUGAAUGCCUCGAGGACCAAGGAACCGUUGAAAUUACCAAUUUCAGGAAGUUCCAGUGGGUGCCCAUCAGGAAGAUUCUGAUGUUGGACAGAAGGGCAAGAGAGAUGGAUCUGUGAGGGAAAAGACCCAAUAGGAUAACUCAAGUUACUGGUAAGUAAUCCACUUUUCACAAACUCGAGAUUUUUUUCCUCCAAUUUCUUCUUUUUGGAAGGAGUUUGUUUAAUUACAAAGAAGGAAGUUGUUUGGGAUAGCUUCUUUUUGUAAGUUUCAUGUAAAUUAUUGAAUUUAAUGUAUAGAUAAUAAAUACCUAAGUUAAUGAAUAUAUCAAUAAAUUUAAUUAAUUUUAGUGUAUUUAGUUUUUAAUGUAUUAUCAUUUGUAUAAUAGCUGUUCGUAAAAAAUUAUAUGCUUAUUGACUUUUGGUAAUGGUGUAAUGGUUGUAAAGCAGUGUAGGGAAGCUUUAUGUUGGAAUCUCUUAUAAAUUCCUUUAUCUUGUGAUGUUCUAUUGACUAAAUGCUUGUAUUGUAAAAUUUAUGCAUGUGCCAAAUUUAGUCAGAUUCUUUUGGCAUGUUAGUGUUUGAACAGCAAGAAUAGUUUUAUGUAUUGACUAACACUUCUUCAUGACAUAGUUUUCAAUGUACCUUUUAAUGUCAUUGAUGGUAUAUUUGAAAAACAAUUUAAGGUGUAUUCCAAUUACAGUUACCACUUAACUGUUCAGAAUGGAUGAGUUUAUUGAUGUGAAGGUUAGCAGAAUUGGUUUAGUCUGAGCUCUCUGGUUCCUCAGGUACCAGAUUACCGAGCUGACAUAUAAUAUUACAGUUAGGUAGAGUUCCUUGCUUCUAGUUUUACGCUCACUUACUCUGUGUGAUUACCCGGUUACUAUUUCUAAAAAGUCACUCUUAGCACAUAAAGAGUCGAUAAUGUUGCCCUGGUAGAGCUAUUUUAUAAAAUUUUAGUCCAUUUGCUGGUCAGUUAAGGCCUCUCAUAAUCCAAUCCCAUUCUUUUUGUUUAACCUUAAUUUCUCCAAUUUGAUCCUUUCGUUUCCUUUUAUCUAUGUAGUUAUCAUAUUUUUGCUUCGGGUUGUACUUUAUUUUCUUGAAAUGUCCUUUUUACAUUCUACUUUUCUGUAUUUUAAAGUUGAGACCAAGUCCUGCCACUCCCAUAAAUCCUUUUAUGGUAACAUCUCUGUUACCUACAUUAUCCUAAUGGAAAAAUUGGAAUGGUUGUGAGGAUUGAAUAAAUUAAUCCAUGUAAGGCACUUAGAAGAAUGCUUAGCAGCACAUAGUAAACACUCUUCUGGGCUAUUUAUUUGAGUGUAGAUUAAUCAUAAACAUUUCUGUGUCUAUAGAAAUAACGCUUGUCAGUAUAACACAAUUUAGUCUUUAAAUAUUGGCUCUGGGUUGUGUUGCUGUUUCUUGUGAUAAAAACUCUUAGGCUGGGUUUUUUUUUUUUUUUAAUUUUGUGCUUUAAGUGAAAGUUUACAAGUCAAGUCAGUCUCUCAUAUAAAACCUUAUAUACACCUUGCAAUAUAUACCUAGUUGCUCUCCCCCUAAUGAGACAGCACAUUCCUUCUCUCCACCCUGUGUUUCUGUAUCCGUGCAGCCAGCUUUUCUGUCCCUGCUACUCUGGCCUUUGAAGUGUUUGGUUUAUUCAGGAGACUUCAUUGCUUUUGGUAUAGUCCAGUUUUGCUGACCUCUUCUAUAUUGUGUGUUAUCCAUCCCUUCACCUAAAUUAGUUUUUGUCUGCUAUCUAAUUAGUGAAUACUCCUCUUCCUCCCCCGUCUUGUAACCAUCAAAAAAUAUUUUCUUCUGUGUUUAAACUAUUUCUUGAGUUCUUAUGAUGGUGGUCUCACACAAUAUUUGUCCUUUUGCAUCUGACUAAUUUCACUCAGCAUAAUGCCUUCCAGAUUCCUCCAUGUUACAAAAUGUUUCACGGAUUCAUCGUUCUUCUUUAUCGAUGCAUCGUAUCCCAUUGUGUGAAUAUACCAUAAUUUAUUUAUCCAUUCAUCCACUGAUGGGCACCUUGGUUGCUUCCAUCUUUUUGCUAUUGUAAACAGUGCUGCAGUGAACAUGGGUGUGCAUAUAUCUGUUCGUGUAAAGACUCUUCUCUAGGGUAUACUCCAAAGAGUGGGAUUGCUGGAUUCUAUGGUAGUUUUAUUCUAGCUUUUUAAGAAAGUGCCAAAUCGAUUUCCAAGAUGGUUGUACCAUUUUACAAUCCCCACCAGCGUCGUCUAAGUGUUCCUUAAGCUGGGUUUUAAACAGGGCUUCAAACCGGUUC